RNAcentral lists this ribosomal RNA (514 nucleotides) under uncultured bacterium. RNAcentral's name for it is "partial 16S ribosomal RNA". It matches the Rfam family "Bacterial small subunit ribosomal RNA", at positions 28 to 523 of the family's 1533-position model. The record is from RNAcentral.
GAUGAACGCUGGCGGCGUGCCUAAUACAUGCAAGUCGAGCGAACUGAUUAGAAGCUUGCUUCUAUGACGUUAGCGGCGGACGGGUGAGUAACACGUGGGCAACCUGCCUGUAAGACUGGGAUAACUUCGGGAAACCGAAGCUAAUACCGGAUAGGAUCUUCUCCUUCAUGGGAGAUGAUUGAAAGAUGGUUUCGGCUAUCACUUACAGAUGGGCCCGCGGUGCAUUAGCUAGUUGGUGGGGUAACGGCACACCAAGGCAACGAUGCAUAGCCGACCUGAGAGGGUGAUCGGCCACACUGGGACUGAGACACGGCCCAGACUCCUACGGGAGGCAGCAGUAGGGAAUCUUCCGCAAUGGACGAAAGUCUGACGGAGCAACGCCGCGUGAGUGAUGAAGGCUUUCGGGUCGUAAAACUCUGUUGUUAGGGAAGAACAAGUACAAGAGUAACUGCUUGUACCUUGACGGUACCUAACCAGAAAGCCACGGCUAACUACGUGCCAGCAGCCGCCGUAA